This 253-nucleotide ribosomal RNA is filed under the name uncultured bacterium. RNAcentral's name for it is "partial 16S ribosomal RNA". It matches the Rfam family "Bacterial small subunit ribosomal RNA", at positions 524 to 776 of the family's 1533-position model. The record is from RNAcentral.
CACGUAGGGCGCGAGCGUUGUCCGGAAUUAUUGGGCGUAAAGAGCUCGUAGGCGGCCUGUUGCGUCCGCUGUGAAAGCCCGGGGCUUAACCCCGGGUCGGCAGUGGAUACGGGCAGGCUAGAGUUUGGUAGGGGAGACUGGAAUUCCUGGUGUAGCGGUGAAAUGCGCAGAUAUCAGGAGGAACACCGGUAGCGAAGGCGGGUCUCUGGGCCAAUACUGACGCUGAGGAGCGAAAGCGUGGGGAGCGAACAGG